UUGAACGAAUUCCUUGUACAAAAAUAACUGACAUGCCCGCAUAAGGAAAUUCAUAUAUAGAAGACCACAUUGAGUUGGAUGGAAAAUCUAACGUGAUAAUUAAGUGGAAACAGUUUAUACAUAAGUAAAUACACACAAUACAUACUGAAAGGCAGUGUAGGUACUAAUUUGGAAUUCAAUCUAGAUACAGAGAAUUAGUUACAAAUCAGAACGAGCUUAGAUUUUUUGUAGUAUAUUUUUGUCCUGCCGUUGCUUAUUUUAGGAUCAAAUAUUCGUCACCCUCAGUAGCUAGUACGAAUUCCAUGUUGAUGUUGACUAGAAAUGAUUGAUGGUGUCCAAACACCAGGAUCAACUGGAGUUGGAGUUGGUAAAAGGAUGGAAUGUUGUUGAUAUUCAGGGAUCCAACUUGCACUCAGUUCUUUGUUGCCAAUGACUGCGUAGUAAUGAUUCUCUCGUCACUGACAUAUAAUUAAACAGAUUUAUUAUCUUCAAUACUCAAGUUUAAUUCGUGACGUAAAAAAACGAAAGAAGAGGGGCCAUAUAUAUGUAGAUAUAUAGUAGAAACAUCAUUGAAAUGUAGAGGCCUGAAAUGUAACCAUGUAUUCGAUCGUAAGCGUAUAUGGAUGUGUAAUUUACCUGCAGUUAGAGGCCUUGCUUGAGCAACACUGGUGGUGUAACUCCCAACGAUAGCAAACAUAACCAUAAGAAGGAACAAGAGGCAUCUCCUUGUUGAACAAGUCAUGUUGUUUAAUGAUACUUGAGCCAAGUGCAAUUAAGCUAUUU
Molecule: long non-coding RNA, 783 nt
Filed under: Fragaria vesca (wild strawberry)
Lineage: Eukaryota; Viridiplantae; Streptophyta; Magnoliopsida; Rosales; Rosaceae
Description: long non-coding RNA (FVES_LNC003007)
Source: RNAcentral